Molecule: ribosomal RNA, 772 nt
Filed under: Coolia santacroce
Lineage: Eukaryota; Dinophyceae; Peridiniales; Ostreopsidaceae
Description: partial large subunit ribosomal RNA
Rfam family: Eukaryotic large subunit ribosomal RNA
Source: RNAcentral
UUGUAAUCUCAAAAAUGCAUUGCUAACAAAACUGCACAUGGUGGUUUUUUGGAAAGAACAUUACAAAGGGUGAAAAUCCCAUGUGUCAUUUGUAUGUUUUGUAUACAGUGUGCAUUUCAUGAAUCACAUUCAUUGACAAUUGAAUGUAAAUUGAAUGGUAAAUUUCAUUUAAACAUGAAUAUGUUGUUGACAACUUAUAGCAAACAAAUACCAUGAGGGAAAUAUGAAAAGGAUUUUGAAAAGAAAAUUAAAAGAGCUUGCAAUUGCUGAAUUGAUAAGCAAACAAAACACAUGUGUGUGCAAGAUUGUUGUAAUGUUUUGCAUUUUAUGCAAUCACAUUACCAUGGUUUUUGUGUGUUUUGUCAUCUCUCAAAUCUGAAAUGAUUUUUUUGAAAUGUGAUUGGAAUUUUGUUUGUUAACAAAGGAAUGCAUUUUCAAAGCUUAUUGUUUGAUUUGACAAACAUGUUUGUAACAUGUCAUGUGUGUCUGUGUGUGCUUCAUUGUUGAUUCAACUAAAUGAUGAUGUGUUUGAUACAUCAAAGACAAUACAUGUUUUGUUUGACCCGUCUUGAAACACGGACCAAGGAGUUUAAUUUAUGUGCAAGUUCAUGAAAGUGACAUUUUGUACAACAAUUGAAAGUAUUUGGUUGGGAUUUCUGCACCAACAACUUGACUAGUUGGUGUGACACGACAUUUGAAUUUGAGCAUAUUCGAUUAAAACCCCGAAAAGAUGGUGAACUAUGCCUGAACAGAAUGAAGUCAGGAGGAACUC